GACGAACGCUGGCGGCGUGCUAAACACAUGCAAGUCGAACGGUAAGGCCCUUCGGGGUACACGAGUGGCGAACGGGUGAGUAACACGUGGGUGAUCUGCCCUGCACUUCGGGAUAAGCCUGGGAAACUGGGUCUAAUACCGGAUAGGACCACUGCCUGCAUGGGUGGUUGUGGAAAGCUUUUGCGGUGUGGGAUGGGCCCGCGGCCUAUCAGCUUGUUGGUGGGGUGAUGGCCUACCAAGGCGACGACGGGUAGCCGGCCUGGGAGGGUGACCGGCCACACUGGGACUGAGAUACGGCCCAGACUCCUACGGGAGGCAGCAGUGGGGAAUAUUGCACAAUGGGCGCAAGCCUGAUGCAGCGACGCCGCGUGAGGGAUGACGGCCUUCGGGUUGUAAACCUCUUUCAGCACCGACGAAGCGCAAGUGACGGUAGGUGCAGAAGAAGGACCGGCCAACUACGUGCCAGCCGCCGCCGUAA
RNAcentral lists this ribosomal RNA (478 nucleotides) under uncultured bacterium. RNAcentral's name for it is "partial 16S ribosomal RNA". It matches the Rfam family "Bacterial small subunit ribosomal RNA", at positions 28 to 523 of the family's 1533-position model. The record is from RNAcentral.